This 22-nucleotide microRNA is filed under the name Monodelphis domestica (gray short-tailed opossum). RNAcentral's name for it is "mdo-miR-7371j-3p". Lineage: Eukaryota; Metazoa; Chordata; Mammalia; Didelphimorphia; Didelphidae. The record is from miRBase by way of RNAcentral.
AGAGCAUGCUUGUACAAGGUAA